CACGUAGGGCGCAAGCGUUGUCCGGAAUUAUUGGGCGUAAAGAGCUCGUAGGCGGUCUGUUGCGUCCGCUGUGAAAACUCGGGGCUUAACCCCGAGCCUGCAGUGGAUACGGGCAGACUAGAGGUAGGUAGGGGAGAAUGGAAUUCCCGGUGUGGCGGUGAAAUGCGCAGAUAUCGGGAGGAACACCGGUGGCGAAGGCGGGUCUCUGGGCCGAUAUUGACGCUGAGGAGCGAAAGCGUGGGGAGCGAACAGG
This 253-nucleotide ribosomal RNA is filed under the name uncultured bacterium. RNAcentral describes it as "partial 16S ribosomal RNA". It matches the Rfam family "Bacterial small subunit ribosomal RNA", at positions 524 to 776 of the family's 1533-position model. The record is from RNAcentral.